CCUACGGGUGGCAGCAGUGAGGAAUAUUGGUCAAUGGACGAGAGUCUGAACCAGCCAAGUAGCGUGAAGGAUGACUGCCCUAUGGGUUGUAAACUUCUUUUAUAUGGGAAUAAAAUGUUCCACGUGUGGGAUUUUGUAUGUACCAUAUGAAUAAGGAUCGGCUAACUCCGUGCCAGCAGCCGCGGUAAUACGGAGGAUCCGAGCGUUAUCCGGAUUUAUUGGGUUUAAAGGGAGCGUAGGUGGAUUGUUAAGUCAGGUGGGAAAGUUUGCGGCUCAACCGGAAAAUUGUAGUUGAAACUGGCAGUCUUUAGUACAGUAGAGGUUGGCGGAAUUCGGGGUGUAGCGGGGAAAUGCUUAGAUAUCACCAAGAACUCCGAUUGCGAAGGCAGUUCACUGGACUGCAACUGACACUGAGGCUCGAAAGUGUGGGUAUCAAACAGGAUUAGAUACCCCUGUAGUC
RNAcentral lists this ribosomal RNA (460 nucleotides) under uncultured bacterium. RNAcentral's name for it is "partial 16S ribosomal RNA". It matches the Rfam family "Bacterial small subunit ribosomal RNA", at positions 338 to 795 of the family's 1533-position model. The record is from RNAcentral.